UCUUUCUUACGAAAGCAGUUUCGUCUGACACGUAUAACAGACAAUGGGGGUUGCGCUCGUUAAUCCACUUAAGGAAACCAUUCACAUGACGAGCUGACGACAGCCGUGCAGCACCUGUCCAGCACCCUCGAAGGCGACUCCGUUUCUGGAGCUUGCAGCUGGAUUUCAAGCCUUGGUGAGGUUCCUCGCUUAGAGUCGAAUUGAACCACAUGAUCCACCGCUUGUGCGAAUUCCCGCCUAUUUCUUUGAGUUUUAAUCUUGCGAUCGUACUUCCCAGGCAACAUACUUAACGCGUUAGCUUCGCCACUGGAAGGGUCGAUGCUCCCAAUAGCUAGUAUGUAACGUUUAGGGCGUGGACUA
Molecule: unclassified non-coding RNA, 360 nt
Filed under: uncultured bacterium
Lineage: Bacteria
Description: contains 16S-23S intergenic spacer region
Source: RNAcentral